Molecule: ribosomal RNA, 400 nt
Filed under: uncultured bacterium
Lineage: Bacteria
Description: bacterial SSU rRNA
Rfam family: Bacterial small subunit ribosomal RNA
Source: RNAcentral
GGGGAAUAUUGCACAAUGGGCGAAAGCCUGAUGCAGCGACGCCGCGUGAGUGAAGAAGUAUUUCGGUAUGUAAAGCUCUAUCAGCAGGGAAGAAAAUGACGGUACCUGACUAAGAAGCCCCGGCUAACUACGUGCCAGCAGCCGCGGUAAUACGUAGGGGGCAAGCGUUAUCCGGAUUUACUGGGUGUAAAGGGAGCGUAGACGGCGAAGCAAGUCUGAAGUGAAAACCCAGGGCUCAACCCUGGGACUGCGUUGGAAACUGUUUUGCUAGAGUGUCGGAGAGGUAAGUGGAAUUCCUAGUGUAGCGGUGAAAUGCGUAGAUAUCGGGAGGAACACCAGUGGCGAAGGCGGCCUACUGGGCACCAACUGACGCAGAGGCUCGAAAGUAUGGGUAGCAAAC